This 253-nucleotide ribosomal RNA is filed under the name uncultured bacterium. Its description in RNAcentral is "partial 16S ribosomal RNA". It matches the Rfam family "Bacterial small subunit ribosomal RNA", at positions 524 to 776 of the family's 1533-position model. The record is from RNAcentral.
UACGUAGGGGGCAAGCGUUGUCCGGAUUUAUUGGGCGUAAAGAGCGUGUAGGCGGCUUUACAGGUCCGUUGUGAAAACUCGAGGCUCAACCUCGAGACGCCGGUGGAAACCGUAAGGCUAGAGUCCGGAAGAGGAGAGUGGAAUUCCUGGUGUAGCGGUGAAAUGCGCAGAUAUCAGGAGGAACACCUAUUGCGAAGGCAGCUCGCUGGGACGUAACUGACGCUGAGACGCGAAAGCGUGGGGAGCAAACAGG